RNAcentral lists this ribosomal RNA (459 nucleotides) under Vibrio vulnificus. Its description in RNAcentral is "partial 23S ribosomal RNA". It matches the Rfam family "Bacterial large subunit ribosomal RNA", at positions 1430 to 1874 of the family's 2925-position model. Lineage: Bacteria; Pseudomonadati; Pseudomonadota; Gammaproteobacteria; Vibrionales; Vibrionaceae. The record is from RNAcentral.
UUAAUAUUCCCGUACUUCUUACAAUUGCGAUGGGGGGACGGAGAAGGCUAGGUGGGCCUGGCGACGGUUGUCCAGGUUCAAGUGCGUAGGCUGAGUGUUUAGGUAAAUCCGGAUACUCUUAAGGCUGAGACACGACGUCGAGCUACUACGGUAGUGAAGUCAUUGAUGCCAUGCUUCCAGGAAAAGCCUCUAAGCUUCAGAUUGUAAGGAAUCGUACCCCAAACCGACACAGGUGGUCGGGUAGAGAAUACCAAGGCGCUUGAGAGAACUCGGGUGAAGGAACUAGGCAAAAUGGUACCGUAACUUCGGGAGAAGGUACGCUCUUGAUGGUGAAGUCCCUUGCGGAUGGAGCUGACGAGAGUCGCAGAUACCAGGUGGCUGCAACUGUUUAUUAAAAACACAGCACUGUGCAAAAUCGUAAGAUGACGUAUACGGUGUGACGCCUGCCCGGUGCCGGAA